CUCCAGGGCCUGGGGUGGGGGCAGGACUUACAUGCCGACUUCUCCAAGGCCAGGUUCAGUCACAAGACAGCCAAGUGACAGGCUGGACAGGGCUCUCGGUGCCGUAAAACUCAUCUCACCUGGAGAUUCCUCCAGAGUUUCCUGCUUUAGAAUUGCUUUUUUUUUUUUUUUUUUUUUUUUUAUUGCUUUCUGGAAUAAACUUCCUAUGUUCCCAGAAGCAGGUAGGGCACCUGGCGACGGCAGUGACUCCCUUAGAAAGAUCCACGGCUGCGGACGGUCGGCGUGGUGCGGGCGGCCGAGGUAGUGACACAAUCCUCCGUCCAGCAAGCCUGCCUGUGACGUCCAGAUUGUGAACGUGUGCGACAACCAACGACUGUCCGGAACUCGCAGCCAUUAGGAAGGAGCCCCCGAAGUCCCGAGCCGUUGUCGGAAGCAGGACACACGCAUGUCCCGAGUCCGUGUGCCCACAGCACAAACAAAGCCGUGAACACGCACCGAAUGGGUGUCCCAAAGGGAACAUGGUCCCCAGAAACGCAACGUGACAGCAGACAUGAUGCAGCUUUGCUGGUGCCGACGUUGUACAAAUUCUCUUCUGUGAAGUUUGGUCUGUGUAACUUCAACAGCAAACUGGCCAGAAGGCUCUGGACACCCAGUAUUGCCUGCUUCCACUCAGGACAGUAGAGUGACAGAGUUAGCCCCGUCUAGAAUUAAAGUGGUGCCUGGGUGGCUCAGUCAGCUGAGCGUCAGUGGCUCAGUCUUGAUUUCAGCUCAGGUCAUGAUCUCUUGGUUCGUGGGAUC
Herpailurus yagouaroundi (jaguarundi) is the source of this 798-nucleotide long non-coding RNA. RefSeq lists it as uncharacterized. The transcript is spliced from 3 exons. Lineage: Eukaryota; Metazoa; Chordata; Mammalia; Carnivora; Felidae. The record is from RefSeq and is a predicted model, not a curated record.